UACCCGCAGCACAAGUGGUGGUCAUUAUUAUUGGGCCUAAAGCGUCCGUAGCUGGCUUGUUAGAUGCCUGGGUAAAUCGAUGCGCUCAACGUAUCGAAUUCCGGGUAGACCGGCAAGCUCGAGACCGGGAGAGGCGUGAGCUACUCGAGGGGUAGGGGUAAAAUCCUGUAAUCCUUCGGGGAGGACCAGUGGCGAAGGCGUCACGCUAGAACGGCUCUGACAGUGAGGGACGAAGCCCUGGGGCGCAAACCGG
This 253-nucleotide ribosomal RNA is filed under the name uncultured bacterium. RNAcentral describes it as "partial 16S ribosomal RNA". It matches the Rfam family "Archaeal small subunit ribosomal RNA", at positions 474 to 727 of the family's 1478-position model. The record is from RNAcentral.